GGCGAACGCUGGCGGCGUGCCUAAUACAUGCAAGUAGAACGCUGAAGGAGGAGCUUGCUUCUCUGGAUGAGUUGCGAACGGGUGAGUAACGCGUAGGUAACCUGCCUGGUAGCGGGGGAUAACUAUUGGAAACGAUAGCUAAUACCGCAUAAGAGUAGAUGUUGCAUGACAUUUGCUUAAAAGGUGCAAUUGCAUCACUACCAGAUGGACCUGCGUUGUAUUAGCUAGUUGGUGGGGUAACGGCUCACCAAGGCGACGAUACAUAGCCGACCUGAGAGGGUGAUCGGCCACACUGGGACUGAGACACGGCCCAGACUCCUACGGGAGGCAGCAGUAGGGAAUCUUCGGCAAUGGACGGAAGUCUGACCGAGCAACGCCGCGUGAGUGAAGAAGGUUUUCGGAUCGUAAAGCUCUGUUGUAAGAGAAGAACGAGUGUGAGAGUGGAAAGUUCACACUGUGACGGUAUCUUACCAGAAAGGGACGGCUAACUACGUG
This 495-nucleotide ribosomal RNA is filed under the name uncultured bacterium. RNAcentral describes it as "partial 16S ribosomal RNA". It matches the Rfam family "Bacterial small subunit ribosomal RNA", at positions 28 to 507 of the family's 1533-position model. The record is from RNAcentral.